RNAcentral lists this long non-coding RNA (218 nucleotides) under Elaeis guineensis (African oil palm). RNAcentral's name for it is "long non-coding RNA (EGUI_LNC004496)". The record is from RNAcentral. Lineage: Eukaryota; Viridiplantae; Streptophyta; Magnoliopsida; Arecales; Arecaceae.
AGUCAAGGCUUUGGACAUAGCAACACAAGAAGCCUUUUAACCCAUGAAACUGACUUUGAGCAAUCUUCACAGCUACUCAAUAAAAUUCUAAUCAAGCAAAACUUUCACACUAGAAUAGAGCAUUAUGAGUUUGCAAUCCAAACUUCCUCAAACAUCAUAGAUACUAUCAAAAUGGUAAAUCACUAUGUAAUUUCUAAUCAAAUUAUUAAGUGGGGGGA